GUCUUUUUGAGAAUAAUUUAAAGUCAAAUCUGCCCACUGAAUUAAUUUUAAAGGGCUGCAGUAUAUUGACUGUACAAAGGUAGCAUAAUCAUUAGUCUUUUAAUUGAAGACUUGUAUGAAUGAUUUGAUGAGAUAUAAACUGUCUCUUUAUUAAGUAUAGAAUUUAAUUUUUUAGUUAAAAAGCUAAAAUUUAUAUAAAAGACGAGAAGACCCUAUAGAGUUUAAUAUUUGAUUAAAAUUUAAUUUUAUAUAAAUUUUUAAAUUAAAUUUUAAUCAAAUAUUUUAUUGGGGUGAUAGAAAAAUUUAAGAAACUUUUUUUAAAAAUUUAACAUUAAUUUAUGAAUUUAUGAUCCAUAAUUUAUGAUUAUAAGAAUAAAUUACCUUAGGGAUAACAGCGUAAUUUUUUUUUUUAGUUCAAAUAAAAAUUAAAGUUUGCGACCUCGAUGUUGGAUUAAGAUAAAAUUUAAAUGCAAAAGUUUAAAAUUUUGAUCUGUUCGAUCAUUAAAAUCUUACA
Molecule: ribosomal RNA, 514 nt
Filed under: Colotis phisadia
Lineage: Eukaryota; Metazoa; Arthropoda; Insecta; Lepidoptera; Pieridae
Also listed under: 1 other name
Description: partial 16S ribosomal RNA
Rfam family: Bacterial large subunit ribosomal RNA (bases 388-514)
Source: RNAcentral